CUGAAAACCUUCCGACUUGAGGUCUUUCCGUCUUGAGGACCUCCCGACCUGAAAACCUUCCGACUUGAGGUCUUUCCGUCUUGAGGACCUACCGACCUGAGGUCCUUCCGUCCUGAUGACUUUCCGUCUUGAGGGCCUCCCGACCUGAAGACCUUCCGACUUGAGGUCUUUCCGUCUUGAGGACCUCCCGACCUGAAAACCUUCCGACUUGAGGUCUUUCCGUCUUGAGGACCUACCGACCUGAGGUCCUUCCGUCCUGAUGACUUUCCGUCUUGAGGACCUCCCGACCUGAAGACCUUCCGACUUGAGGUCUUUCCGUCUUGACGACCUACCGACCUGAAGACCUUCCGACCUGAAGUCUUUCCGUCUUGAGGACCUCCCGACCUGAAGACCUUCCGACUUGAGGUCUUUCCGUCUUGAGGACCUACCGACCUGAGGUCCUUCCGUCCUGAUGACUUUCCGUCUUGAGGACCUCCCGACCUGAAGACCUUCCGACCUGAGGUCUUUCCGUCUUGAGGACCUACCGACCUGAAGACCUUCCGACCUGAAGUCUUUCCGUCUUGAGGACCUACCGACCUGAAGACCUUCCGACCUGAAGUCUUUCCGUCCUGUAUUUUCCUUGAUUUCCACACGGUGUCCUUCAGCCGGUUCAACCAACUCUAUCGCCAGGCCCAUUCUCCUUUUUACCUUGGGCUUUUAACCUAAUUCUAAAUUUCGUACGUAACAACUUGCCCGCCGCCAAGGGACUUUCAAACGCCAUUUAACAAUCAAUGUUUGGA
This is a long non-coding RNA of Andrographis paniculata, 779 nucleotides long. RefSeq lists it as uncharacterized. The record is from RefSeq and is a predicted model, not a curated record. The transcript has 4 exons. Lineage: Eukaryota; Viridiplantae; Streptophyta; Magnoliopsida; Lamiales; Acanthaceae.